UGGUGGGGUGACUUGUCUGCUUAAUUGCGAUAACGAACGAGACUUUAACCUGCUAAAUAGCCCGCAUUGCUCCGGCAGUGCGCUGGCUUCUUAGAGGGACUUUCGGCUCAAGCCGAAGGAAGUUUGAGGCAAUAACA
RNAcentral lists this ribosomal RNA (137 nucleotides) under uncultured eukaryote. RNAcentral describes it as "partial 18S ribosomal RNA". It matches the Rfam family "Eukaryotic small subunit ribosomal RNA", at positions 1299 to 1458 of the family's 1831-position model. The record is from RNAcentral.